RNAcentral lists this ribosomal RNA (217 nucleotides) under uncultured bacterium. RNAcentral's name for it is "partial 16S ribosomal RNA". It matches the Rfam family "Bacterial small subunit ribosomal RNA", at positions 328 to 539 of the family's 1533-position model. The record is from RNAcentral.
ACGCUCGACACCUACGGAGGCAGCAGUGAGGAAUAUUGGUCAAUGGGCGCUAGCCUGAACCAGCCAAGUAGCGUGAAGGAUGAAGGCUCUAUGGGUCGUAAACUUCUUUUAUAUAAGAAUAAAGUGCAGUAUGUAUACUGUUUUGUAUGUAUUAUAUGAAUAAGGAUCGGCUAACUCCGUGCCAGGAGCUGCGGUAAUCUGAGCGGGCUGGCAAGGC